GUGGAGCCUGGCGACUGCUUUGGGAAGUCCUGCUGGCAGGCACUCUGCCCCUGGGGGUGUGCAAAGAGUUGUCCAGUUACCUUGAUCUUCUCACAGCCUCCUCCCCAGGGCACCAGGAGAGACCAGGAUUGGAGGACGGUAAAGAACACACUUCCCAGAGGAUUCUUGGAGGUGGCUUCCUCCAGGCAGUAAAUCUACAGCCCAGGCUCCCUGCAUCUUAUGGCUCCAAUCACUUUGGAUCUCAUCGUCGCCUGCACAUUGCCAUACACAGGGAAGGAGAAGAGAUGGAGAAGGCAAAGACUUUCUGAAAGCCGUGGCUAAAAGCUGGCAUGUGUCACAUCAGCUCACAUUCCAUUGUAGAGACGGGGUUUCACCGUGUUAGCCAGGAUGGUCUUGAUAUCCUGACCUCGUGAUCCGCCCGCCUUGGCUUCCCAAAGUGCUGGGAUUACAGGCGUGAGCCACCGCUCCCGGCCUGGCAGGCAUUCUUGAGGCAAACGGGAAAUGGGUGAACGGGAGGAACAUUGGCAGCACUUGUGGUCUGCACCAAGAACUGAAUCGAAUUUCCAUGUGUUAUUGAAUGUUCACAAAGACCUUGUACAGCGAGUGUUACUACCUCUGGUCAAUGAUUCAACUCAAGGCUCAGAAAAGUCAAGUGUCUUGUCCAGGGACACUUAGUCAGAAGUGAAUCCAAGGUUUAAGCUCAAGUCUGCCUAACUCUGAAUUUCACAGCCUUUUGCUACAUAUGGCGAAUAAUAUAUCCCUGAGCACUAAAGGCAGACUCCAAGGAUCUUGUCUCUGCAAUCAUCAUUCUGGCCAUAAUUUAUGAAAAGCAACCCAAAGUAUGUGAUGUAAUAAAAAGUACUAUCUAUGAGUUUACCCUUCCAAAAAUUGAACUGAAUUCUGAGCUCUAAAUUUGGAAUCAAAAGAACUUUUCUCUGCACUAAUCAUUUGGAACAUCACUUAAAGAAAACAACGAAAAACUGGUGUCCCCUGAGAGAAAGCAAUACAAAACAUUAUGCAUAAAGAAAUCCUUCCAAAAAAUAAACCAAAUCCAGUCAAAUCUCUAGUUUUGACUCCUAGCUUACCGGAAAUACGUGAUGGGAAAAAAAUGAAAUGACACCACUAUGAUUCAAUCAGCCAAAUCCAGCAUAUGCAAAUUUCUACCAGAUAAAUGGUUUAGUUUCUUCCCCAAACAAAUGGCACAAGGAAACGGAGAUGGAGUUCCCCUCUGCCACCCAGACUGGAGUACAGUGGCGCGAUCCUGGCCAUCGCAACCUCCGCCUCCCAGGUUCAAGCGAUUCUCCUGCCUCAGUCUCUCAAGUAGCUGGGAUAUGGGCACCUGUCACCAUGCCCAGCUAAUUUUUUUAAAAUUUAUUUUUAGUAGAGAUGGGGUUUCACCAUGUUGGCCAGGCUGGUCUCGAACUCCUGACCUCAGGUGAUCCACCCACACUUUUUAUUGUUUGCCUACACUUUCUAGACUUGCUUCAUCAGCCUACUCCGUUUCUGGUUGAUAUGGUUUGGUUGUGUCCCCACUCAAAUCUUAUCUAGAAGUGUAAUCCCCAAGUCUCAAGGGAGGGACCUGGUGUGAGGUGAUUGGAUUGGGGGGUGGUUCCCGCCAUGCUGUUCUCAUGAUAGUGAGUGAGUUCUCAUGAGAUCUGAUGGUUUUAUAAGGCAGUUUUCCCUAUUCUUGCUCACUCUUCUCUCUCUUUCUGCCAUGUGAAGAAGGUCCUUGCUUCCCCUUCACCUUCUACCAUGAUUGUAAGUUUCCUGAGGCCUCCCCUCAGCCAUGCACAACUGUGAGUCAAUUAAACCUCUUUCCUUUAUAAAUUACUCAGUCUCAGGUCGUAUCUUUAUAGCAGUAUGAGAAUGGACUAAUACACUGGUCUAUCCUUCAUCCAAAUUAACUACCUGCACUGCAGUCCUUGUCUCAGGCUCUGCUUUGAGGGACCCCAACUGUGACAGCCGCAUUAGAAUGCAUCACAUACUGCAGUGAAAUUCUAGAGUGGGUGUUGUCAGGUGGUGAUGAUUGUUAGAUAUGUCAGUCUGUUUUCAGGCUGCUGAUAAAGACAUACCUGAGACUGGGUAAUUUAUAAAGGAAAAGGAGGUUUAAUGGACUCACAGUUCCACAUGGCUAGGGAGGCCUCACAAUCAUGGCAGAAGGUGAAAGGCACGGCUUACAGGGUGGCAGCAAGAGAGGAAAUGAGAACCAAGUGAAAAGGUUUCUGCUUAUAAAACCAUCAGCUCUUGUGAGACUUAUUCAUUACAAUGAGAACAAUAUGGGGGAAACUGCCCCCAUGAUUCAAUUAUCUCCCACCAGAUCCCUCCUACAACACAUGAGAAUUGUGGGUGCUACAAUUCAAGAUGAGAUUUGAGUGGGGACAAAGUCAAACCAUAUCAUUAGAUAGGACACUGGAGAAAGGCAAGAAAGAAAAGACAUCUGAAGAAUGAAGGGAGCCAAAGAAAUGCCAACAUUUUGCUUUUUGAAGAAAAGCUAAAUUAAAGUCAAAAUGGAUUUAUCAAUUUCCUUGGGUUCGUGAAUGUACAGAACUUUAUUAAGACUGUCAUGCUGUCAUCAUGGCUGGAUCUGAUACGGCCACCGUGGACCUUGAGGUGACCUCGGGAAUGGAGACAGUGCAUGGGAGAGAAUCACAUUGGAAGGGGCCUGGGUUUCUGAAGACCCUGUAAGACAGAUCUCCUUGCAGCCCUGACUGCCCACAUUAGGGCUUUUAUGUUAGGGUGAAGUUACCUUGCAUUGUCAUAUAAGCAAUUGCUAUUUGUGGUGUCUUGCAAAUAAACCUAUUCUGAUCUAGUAUGUUUCCU
Molecule: long non-coding RNA, 2820 nt
Filed under: Homo sapiens (human)
Lineage: Eukaryota; Metazoa; Chordata; Mammalia; Primates; Hominidae
Description: non-protein coding LINC00939:13
Source: RNAcentral